This 253-nucleotide ribosomal RNA is filed under the name uncultured bacterium. Its description in RNAcentral is "partial 16S ribosomal RNA". It matches the Rfam family "Bacterial small subunit ribosomal RNA", at positions 524 to 776 of the family's 1533-position model. The record is from RNAcentral.
UACGAAGGGGGCUAGCGUUGCUUGGAAUCACUGGGCGUAAAGCGCACGUAGGCGGCUUUCUAAGUCAGGGGUGAAAUCCCGGAGCUCAACUCCGGAACUGCCUUUGAUACUGGAGAGCUUGAGUUCGGGAGAGGUGAGUGGAACUGCGAGUGUAGAGGUGAAAUUCGUAGAUAUUCGCAAGAACACCAGUGGCGAAGGCGGCUCACUGGCCCGGUACUGACGCUGAGGUGCGAAAGCGUGGGGAGCAAACAGG